RNAcentral lists this ribosomal RNA (447 nucleotides) under uncultured bacterium. RNAcentral describes it as "bacterial SSU rRNA". It matches the Rfam family "Bacterial small subunit ribosomal RNA", at positions 355 to 825 of the family's 1533-position model. The record is from RNAcentral.
UCGGGAAUUUUGGGCAAUGGGGGAAACCCUGACCCAGCAACGCCGCGUGAAGGAUGAAGUAUUUCGGUAUGUAAACUUCGAAAGAAUAGGAAGAAUAAAUGACGGUACUAUUUAUAAGGUCCGGCUAACUACGUGCCAGCAGCCGCGGUAAUACGUAGGGACCAAGCGUUGUUCGGAUUUACUGGGCGUAAAGGGCGCGUAGGCGGCAAUUCAAGUCAUCUGUGAAAUCUCCGGGCUUAACUCGGAACGGUCAGAUGAUACUGCUUUGCUAGAGUGCAGAAGGGGCAAUCGGAAUUCUUGGUGUAGCGGUGAAAUGCGCAGAUAUCAAGAGGAACACCUGAGGUGAAGACGGGUUGCUGGGCUGACACUGACGCUGAGGCGCGAAAGCCAGGGGAGCAAACGGGAUUAGAUACCCCCGUAGUCCCUGAGCGGGCUGGCAAGGCGCAU